UAUAUCUAAAACAAAGAAUCUGCCACCUCAUGAACAAUCAAACUGAAAUCAUCUGUGGAGUUCCAGAGGUUUUAGCUUGGAGCGUUGAAGGUUGAGACAGCUAAAAAAGUGAGGAAACAUUAGAAAUGGAGGAGCAAUGAGGUGGUGGGACUCUUGUAUAGGCAAUUAUUUUCAAGUGCUAAAAUUUAGGAUUUUGUUGUUGUUGGGAGUAGUUGGAUCUUUGAAGGUUGAGACAGAUCUAUAAGUUCAUUAUAUGCAAGUAAUACAAGAAAAUUGUGCUACGGUGU
Molecule: non-coding RNA, 287 nt
Organism: Lupinus albus (white lupine)
Lineage: Eukaryota; Viridiplantae; Streptophyta; Magnoliopsida; Fabales; Fabaceae
Source: the annotation of a GenBank genome assembly